UUCACCGGAGCUUGCUCCACCGAAAGAAAAAGAGUGGCGAACGGGUGAGUAACACGUGGGUAACCUGCCCAUCAGAAGGGGAUAACACUUGGAAACAGGUGCUAAUACCGUAUAACACUAUUUUCCGCAUGGAAGAAAGUUGAAAGGCGCUUUUGCGUCACUGAUGGAUGGACCCGCGGUGCAUUAGCUAGUUGGUGAGGUAACGGCUCACCAAGGCCACGAUGCAUAGCCGACCUGAGAGGGUGAUCGGCCACACUGGGACUGAGACACGGCCCAGACUCCUACGGGAGGCAGCAGUAGGGAAUCUUCGGCAAUGGACGAAAGUCUGACCGAGCAACGCCGCGUGAGUGAAGAAGGUUUUCGGAUCGUAAAACUCUGUUGUUAGAGAAGAACAAGGAUGAGAGUAGAACGUUCAUCCCUUGACGGUAUCUAACCAGAAAGCCACGGCUAACUACGUGCCAGCAGCCGCGGUAAUACGUAGGUGGCAAGCGUUGUCCGGAUUUAUUGGGCGUAAAGCGAGCGCAGGCGGUUUCUUAAGUCUGAUGUGAAAGCCCCCGGCUCAACCGGGGAGGGUCAUUGGAAACUGGGAGACUUGAGUGCAGAACAGCAGAGUGGAAUUCCAUGUGUAGCGGUGAAAUGC
Molecule: ribosomal RNA, 640 nt
Filed under: Enterococcus gallinarum
Lineage: Bacteria; Bacillati; Bacillota; Bacilli; Lactobacillales; Enterococcaceae
Description: bacterial SSU rRNA
Rfam family: Bacterial small subunit ribosomal RNA
Source: RNAcentral